UACGGAAGGUCCGGGCGUUAUCCGGAAUUAUUGGGCGUAAAGAGUGAGCAGGCGGUUGAUUAAGUCUGAGGUUAAAGCGUGGGGCUCAACCCCAUAAAGCCUUGGAAACUGAUCGACUAGAGUACGGGAGAAGUGAAGGGAACUCCAUGUGUAGCGGUGAAAUGCGUAGAUAUAUGGAAGAACACCAGUGGCGAAGGCGCUUCACUAGCCCGAAACUGACGCUCAGUCACGAAAGCGUGGGUAGCAAAUA
Molecule: ribosomal RNA, 250 nt
Filed under: uncultured prokaryote
Description: partial 16S ribosomal RNA
Rfam family: Bacterial small subunit ribosomal RNA
Source: RNAcentral